UACGUAGGGUGCGAGCGUUGUCCGGAAUUAUUGGGCGUAAAGAGCUCGUAGGCGGUCUGUCGCGUCGAUCGUGAAAACUUGGGGCUUAACCCUGAGCUUGCGGUUGAUACGGGCAUGACUGGAGUUCGGCAGGGGAGACUGGAAUUCCUGGUGUAGCGGUGAAAUGCGCAGAUAUCAGGAGGAACACCGGUGGCGAAGGCGGGUCUCUGGGCCUUACCUGACGCUGAGGAGCGAAAGCGUGGGGAGCGAACAGG
RNAcentral lists this ribosomal RNA (254 nucleotides) under uncultured prokaryote. Its description in RNAcentral is "partial 16S ribosomal RNA". It matches the Rfam family "Bacterial small subunit ribosomal RNA", at positions 524 to 776 of the family's 1533-position model. The record is from RNAcentral.